Long non-coding RNA from Monodelphis domestica (gray short-tailed opossum), 5007 nucleotides. RefSeq lists it as uncharacterized. Lineage: Eukaryota; Metazoa; Chordata; Mammalia; Didelphimorphia; Didelphidae. The record is from RefSeq and is a predicted model, not a curated record.
GUUCCCUUUCAACUGUCUUAGACAUGUUCUUCUCAGAGAUGAUAUAAACAUUGUGACAUGGAAAGAAAGGGCAGGAGCACAGGUGCAGCCCCAAGUCAUCAGUCCUCUGAAGCUGUUCUGUCUGAGGGGGGUCCCAGGCACUGAAGCUGCUCUUGCUGUUGGGUCACAAAGUUAAGGAGCAGCAUGCAGAGAGAGCUGGACUGAGCCCUGGAGGAGGAUACAAAGCAGUUCACCAUCUCAUUCAUCCAUCCCAUGUUUUACUUUCACUCUAUGAUUUCAUCUUAGUUUAGCUCAUGCUGUUCUGGAGGCUUACAUGGUUUCUGGAGUUCUCCAUCCCUACUGUUUUCUUCAAGACAGAAAUAAUGUAACAUCUGCACUAGUGUAGGAACACUGCAAGGGCAAGGACUAUGCCUGGAUCUACAUGACUGCCCAGAUUUACUGUUUGUUUCUGCCAUUUAAAUGUUCCCAACAACUGGGUUGCAUCUGUCAUUGAGCAUUCAAUUAUUGCUCUCCUAAAGCCUAUCCUCAGCAUCAAUGGUCAAAUUUAAGGUUAUGAUAUGAAAAUAAAAAAAAUCAUUAUGACCUUGUGUGGCUGGUAUCUCUAAAGUCCUCUGUCAAAUUAAGCCUUGCCUAGCACUACCCAUUCAGCAAUAUAUAUUUUUUUUAAUUUUUUUUUUUUUGCUGAUGACAGUAAAGAAAAGAACAGGAGAACUGGAUUAAAUAUCAGGUUCUGCCACUGUUUUACAUUUAACAUAUCAUGUAACUUCUUUAUUUUGUAUCUGUGGAAAAUGUCAAUAAUGUCUGUCCAUUGUCUACCUUAAAGAAAAAUUACAAGAAUAAACACAAAUAUAAAAGAGGAAUUCUUGAGUGGGAGGCAGCAUUAUUAUUAAAGGACAAUUUUUGGUGCAGAAUUUUUAUUCUUUUUUAAGUGCAUGGGUGGUCCAGAGCAUGAUAUAGUUAUUCCUUUCACAUCUUGGGAGUAGAAGACCCCUGUGCUUUGAAAUAUCUGCAUGAAAUUUUCUCCCUUUAUACCAGAGAUAUCUGAAUUUCUUCUUUUUCUUUUAUGAGAUGGUACCUUACUGUAAAUUUUGGGUCCAGUAUACAUUUCUGAGUUUCUAGACUUUGUCAUUUGAGGCUUCUUCAAAACUUUCCAAAAAUUUCCAUCUAACCUCUUAUGUUGACCUAUGAUAUAUCAAACCUGUAAUGGGGAAAGUUGCAAUAUAGAAAGGAUAACCCAACAUACUGUGAAGAGUGGAUCAAACUCUCUUUGCCUAUCAAGCAGCAACUUUUAAGUUAAUCAAUCAAAAAUAUAAGGACCACUACUUAGUACCUUACUAAUCACUAAGUAUGAGAGAUCACAAGUCACUUGCUAGAGUGGGUGAUAACUCCAGAGUCUCCUGCCCCCCACCCCAGCAGUGCUAGGAAAAUUGAAAGACUGACUGGUUCCCAUAAAAUGGGAGAAUGACAGGAAGUGACAUAAAGAAAACUGCAAAGCUAGUCUCUGAUUCUCUGUCAGAUGAGCUGGACUGGAGGAGGAGACUCUUUCCUUGGAUCCUGUGGUGGUGAGUGGAGUGACUCCUUUCUUGGUUCUUCCGUGAGGGGACUCUCUCUGCUCGUUGGUGCUUUGGUGGGACACUCCCUUAAGUGUGAGUUCUGGUGAGAUUCUUGGUGGUCUUCGUCUCCUAUGCACUGAAGGUUCUUGGCAGAUUCUUCAGCAUCUCCUGGUUCUUCAGUUUCAGCUUCCUAAUUAGACUUUGGAUUCUGGUGAGAUUCACUUUCAGAUUCACAUUUGAGGUCUGGAGACAUGAGGAUUAAACUCAGGGUAUUUGUAGUCUACAUUUUUCCAUUCUCACUCUUUCCACUUCUUUGUAAAUAAAGAUGCUAAAAGUAAUUUUGACUUAAGCUGUAAUAUUUUUUAAAUCUGCAACCACAAUAUUACUUUAGAAUUCUCAGAUUUAGCAUAAAACCUAAAUUUAAAUUCUUAUAAUACCAAUUUUUUCACUAUUAUAUUUUUAAAUCUUUUUAUUUUAUUUUAUUUUUUUUGGUUACAAUACUCACUUUAUUUCCCUCCCUCCCCUCCACCCAUCCUUCCCACAGCCGAUGCGCAAUUUCAUUGGGUAUUACUUGUGUCCUUGAUCAGAACCUAUUUCCAUGUUGUUGUUUGAUAUACCAGUUUUUUGAAUGACCUUAUUUUCUAUCUUUUUUUUCACUCUUUAUCAUGCUCAAGUUUCUGGAAGACUCAACACAAGUGUAGCUCCAUCCAAUUGGACAUUUUUUCUGAUAGAAUAGACCAUAGGGAGGCAAUGUGAUAUGUUAGAAAGAGAGCUCAAUUUGCAGUCAAAAGUCCUCAGGUUGACGUAUAGGCAGACUGUACUUGUGUGACUCGGGGCAAGUCACUUGAAGUCUCUGGGUCUUAGGUUUGUCAGUAAAGUGACACAGAUGGACUACAUAAUGUCCAAGGUCUCUUCUAGCUCUAAAUUUAUGAUCCUAUGAUCUGUUCUGAGUCCUUAUCUCCAUUAUGACUGGUGAAAAGGGUAGGAUAGCUUUGCCAUAAGUGUGAAGGUUUUCUCUACUUGUCUCCCCUGAACUUCCUCUCUUCUGAACAUCAGCUUAAGCUUUUUCUAAGUUACCUAUAGUUAGAACUUGAGCAAAAGACAACAGGAAAAAAAGGGUUGCUCUCACCAAGAAUUUCCAAAGAAUCUGGGCUUUGUAAGAUCUACAAAGAAAUACCAAGAUACUGAGAGAAGAGGAUUCAACUAAACAGUUUGAAGAAACUGGAACCAGACAUAGUCUGUAUCAGAAUUAUUUGACAACUUUUAGGGUGGGUCACUGGUGAAUCAAGUUGUUCAGUGAAAAAUCCAUGUGUUAAUCCAAAGAACAAAUCAAUGAACACUUUAGUUCACAAGGGAAAGAAAAUAACUAUAUCAGAGAAACAGAUGAUCACAAUGACACAUUUAUUACAAGGGUAGCAGACAUUAGUGGAAAUUGGUCACCCUUAAUAUAGCUAAGUGAAGCCAUGUGGAGUCUGAUAUGGACAUCAGCUAUGUAUUUCAUCCUGGACUCUACUUACUUGAUUCUUAGAGAUAUGGCAGCACCAUCAGGAUGCCGACAAACAUUUCCUUAUGUGCCAAGCACUAUAAUACACAAUGAAGAUAUAAAGAGAGAUAGAAGCAGCCCAUGUCCUCAAGGAGUUCACAUUUAAAUGGGAGAGACAACACUGAAACAACUAUGUAUCUCUGUAUUGAGUACACUUUGGCACUUUUGGGUCCAUGCUGCUUUAUUUUCCCAUGUGAGGGGAUAACCCUAAAGGCCUGGGAUAUCUUUCUUCUCUAUCACCAUUAGUUCAAGUCUUAUUUGAUUGUUUUCAAUGUAUCAGUCUGUCUCCCCCUAUAUUCAGGGUCUAGCUCUAAACUGAGGAAGAGCCUUGGUCCUGAUUUAUUAGGCAAUUGUCAUGUAUUGCUUGGUAAACUGAUAUAUCCAAAUUUGAACCUUUUUUUUCUCUCAGGCAUUUCAUCUUUCACCCACUACCAGAAGUUCUACCACUGGAUCAAGGCAAUGGUGUCUGCUAAUGUACCAGACUUUUAUUAAAUGUACAAAAUGCAUAGUGUAAGUGGAAGAUAAUCUUAGAGCAAAGGCAUUGGCAGGGUUUAGGACUGAAAAAAGCCUCCUACAGAUGGGGAGAUUUGAGCUGAGGCUGGAAAGAAGCCAACAUAUGGAAGGAAAAAGUAAGAACAUUCCAGGAAUGAGGGGAUAGUCAGGGAAAAGGCAAGAAAUUUGGAGAUGGAAUUUAUAGAAGAGAAAGUAGCCAUUGUCACUAGGUUGAGAAAGGAGUACAUUUUGAGAAUUCUAGAAAAAUAGUAAAGGACCUGGGUGUAAAGGGCUUGAAAUGCUAAGCAGAGGGGUUUAUAUUGGAUCCUGGAGAUAAUAAGGAAUCACUUGAGUUUAUUGAGUAGGGCAGUGAUGUGGUCAGAUACAUGCUUUAGGAAAAAUCACUUUGGCAGCUGAGUGGAAGAUGGAUGGGAAUGAGACUUAAGGCAAGGGAAACAAUUAUGAAGCUAUUUUAAUAGGGGUAAGGGAGGGAAUAAGCAUUUAUUAAGUACCUAGUAUAUGCCAGGCACUGCAUUAUGAGCUUUACAAAUAUGUCAUUUGAUCCUCACAAAUCUGGGAGUUUAUUAUUAUCCUAUUUGUAAAAUUGAAGAAACUGAGGCAGACUUGAGCAAGAUCACACAGCUAGCAAGUGUCUGACAUUUAAAGUCAUAUCUUCCUGACCCCAGGCCCAAGGUUCAAUGCACAAUACCAACCAGCUGUGAGAGUCAGGAAGGGAAACUAUAUGGGACAUUCUUUAAAGAGAGAAAUGACAAGACUUAAUAAUAGAUUUGAGCUCCCAGAAAUGUGAAUGAAUAAUUGGGUACCACCUCUUUGCUGAAUGAACUCACUCUUUCUAGGGCACCAGAGGUUUUAUAUCUCUCGGAAGAUAGUUGGAAAAAUACUGUCGAAAUUUUUAUUUUUUCACUGUAUUACAUUAAGGUAUUCAAAAAAUGGACUUACAGGGUAUUUUGUGGAAGGGCAGAACUUAGAGAGGCUGAUUUUUAAGAAAGACAAAUCUUAAAAUAUGACUAGAAAAUAUGGGGAGAUGAGCUGCAAAGCCCAAGAAAAGCUACUUCCUAGGACACAUAAACCAAAGUAGAUAAGUGAAUUCAAGACAUGAGAAUGUUAUUAUCCUAUAUCAAGGGUGUUAGCCCGGGAUUUAGGCUUUUCAAGCCAUUUUACAGACCACCGAUAUAAUUGCUAUUCUUCUAAGUUUAUGCUUUGGUAGUUCUAACUCAUUUAGUUAAGCCACUUCGAGAGGUAACAACGCCUUCCCAUCCAAAGUUCUCUGGUGCCUACUUUAUAUAUGUCUUAUAUAUGUACAUUCAGGAUAUCCCAAAUCUUUUUUAAAAAUUUCAUUUAUUUAUUUAUUUUCAAUAUUUUUCCAUGUUUAUAUGGUUCAUUUUCUUUUCCUCCCCU